This 1172-nucleotide long non-coding RNA is filed under the name Phascolarctos cinereus (koala). RNAcentral describes it as "lncRNA (ENSPCIG00000021373.2)". The record is from RNAcentral. Lineage: Eukaryota; Metazoa; Chordata; Mammalia; Diprotodontia; Phascolarctidae.
CCUUGUCAACCCACUCGCCCUCAACGGCCAAAAUGCUGUGCUCCCGGCGCAGCUCUGGCUCUGAAGGGCCGCCCGAUGGAAGAGGGAGUGGCCUCGGUUUUCUGGGGUAUGGGGGCAGAUCCAGGAGCAGAGGAAAGGGGAGGAGCUGCCAAGGUGAAGAUUUGGGUUUGAUAACAGGGGAAGCACUACUCCUAAGGGCUGAACCCAAGAGGAAUGGCUGCCCGGCAGGUGGAGGGCGGAUGACUCAGUCCGGGGUGUUGCAGACGGAUGCAGGAUGGUGCUGGCAUCAGACUAGCUGGUUUGUGAGAGGCUGCGAAGACAGAGGAGGCAUCUGGAGGCUGGAGAAGGCGUCUCCCCAGUGCCCCCAGGCCUGGAGCUCCAUGCAAAUGGCCACCUCCUCUAGCAGCCUCCAUCAUCAGGAGUCGUGUCUCCUGCACGGAUCUGCCUGCUCCAAAGUGGGUGGUCAAUGGCAUCGGGACAGACAGAGCUCCCACCGCAUGGCGACCUCGGACCAACGUUUCCUCGUCCGCUCCUUUGAAAGACAUGUUUGCGCAUCAAGCAUUUUCCCACAGCAGGGAGACAAUAUCCUGGCCUUUGCCAAAGAUCACAUGCUCUUAUCCUCAUCAUUCCUGUCGUCUGAAGUUUGACAAGAUUCAUCAGACAAAACCCAAUGGCCUCGUCUCCCUGGUGGCCCUAGGGACAUCAGGGAGGAGGAGCUGGCUGCUGACAAGUCCUUUUGGGUCUGUUGUGAGCCUGUCUGGCCACGUGAGCCACUCUCCGGAGGGAGCCUGGGGUCUCGGGACCCCUUCUUUUUCUCGGUUCCCAGGGUGCUCUGUCCCAUGGAGGCAGCCAUCGCCUUUUCCUCUUCUUCUAACCUGGGCCCCAGCUGACACUCUUCACUCCCCUCUUCUCCCUCCCCUAAACUGUGGUUGGGUAUGGCCACCAGCUGGCACGUCCAGCUCUGGGGCAACGUCACCAGAGAAAGUCCGUUCGAGGUGGAGAAUGUCAUCUUUUGAUGUCCCCCACGGCCGUAAUUUCUGGGCUGGAAUAGCUUCCUGAGCACAGAGUGAUUCUGGAGCGAAUUGGGAAAACACCAGAAAAGGGGUGAGCAGAAGCGACAGUCCACAGUCUAUCCCAAUAAAAUGGUGUUGCGGGGCGUGUGGAGGAGAGGC